Molecule: ribosomal RNA, 508 nt
Filed under: uncultured bacterium
Lineage: Bacteria
Description: partial 16S ribosomal RNA
Rfam family: Bacterial small subunit ribosomal RNA
Source: RNAcentral
GAUGAACGCUAGCUACAGGCUUAACACAUGCAAGUCGAGGGGAAACGACAUCGAAAGCUUGCUUUUGAUGGGCGUCGACCGGCGCACGGGUGAGUAACGCGUAUCCAACCUGCCCACCACUUGGGGAUAACCUUGCGAAAGUAAGACUAAUACCCAAUGACGUCUCUAGACGACAUCUGAAGGAGAUUAAAGAUUUAUCGGUGAUGGAUGGGGAUGCGUCUGAUUAGCUUGUUGGCGGGGUAACGGCCCACCAAGGCGACGAUCAGUAGGGGUUCUUAGAGGAAGGUCCCCCACAUUGGAACUGAGACACGGUCCAAACUCCUACGGGAGGCAGCAGUGAGGAAUAUUGGUCAAUGGGCGAGAGCCUGAACCAGCCAAGUAGCGUGCAGGAUGACGGCCCUAUGGGUUGUAAACUGCUUUUAUAAGGGAAUAAAGUGAGUCUCGUGAGACUUUUUGCAUGUACCUUAUGAAUAAGGACCGGCUAAUUCCGUGCCAGCCGCCGCUGUAA